RNAcentral lists this ribosomal RNA (1351 nucleotides) under Ostrinia furnacalis (Asian corn borer). RNAcentral's name for it is "16S ribosomal RNA". Lineage: Eukaryota; Metazoa; Arthropoda; Insecta; Lepidoptera; Crambidae. The record is from RNAcentral. RNAcentral also lists the same sequence under 1 other name.
CAAUUAAUUUGAGGGGUAAAAAUUAAUAAUUAAAAAAUAAUAAAAUUAAUUUUAAUAUUAAAAUUGGGGGGUUUUAGUAUUAAUAAAGAAAAAAUUAUUAAUUUUAUAGUUAAUUAGUAUUGUAUAAGAAAUUUAAAAUAUAUUGAAAUUAUAUUUAUAUUAAAGUAAAUAUUAUUUAUUGUAUCUUGUGUAUCAGAGUUUAUUAAAUUAAAUUUUUAUAAUUAAAAAUUCUCGAAUUUUAAAGAGUUAAUUAAUUAUUAAAGUUAUUGUUUCAUAAAUAUUUUAAAUAAUUAAUUAGAAAUGAAAUGUUAAUCGUUUUAAAAUAUAUCUAGUUUUUUUAGAAAAAAAUUUAAUUUUAAAUUUAUUUAUAAAUUUAAUUAAUUAAUUAAUUAAUUUAAAAUAAAUUUUAAUAUUUUAAGGGAUAAGCUUUAAAUUAAAUUUUUAUAAUUAUAUUUUUAUUUAAUUAAAAUUUUUAAAAUUUAUAUUGUUUAUAAAAUUUAAUUUAUUAUAAAAUAAUUUUAAUUAAAUUAUAAAAUUUUAAAUUAAUUUAAUUUUUUAUAAAAAAAUAAUUUUAAAUUUUAUAAAUUUAUCUAUAAUGAUAAAAUUAGUAUUAAAUUUAUAAAAAAUUUAUUUAAUAUUUUAAAAUUUAAAUAAAAGGAAUUCGGCAAAAUUUUAUGUUCACUUGUUUAUCAAAAACAUGUCUUUUUGUUAAUAAUUUAAAGUCUAAUCUGCCCACUGAUAAUUAUUAAAGGGCUGCAGUAUAUUGACUGUACAAAGGUAGCAUAAUAAAUAGUUUUUUAAUUGAUGACUUGUAUGAAAGAUUGGAUGAAAUAUAAACUGUCUCUUAUUUAUUAUUAAUUAAUUUAAUUUUUUGAUUAAAAAGUCAAAAUUUAUUUAAAAGACGAGAAGACCCUAUAGAGUUUUAUAUUAAUAUAUAAUAAAAUUAUUUUUUAGAUUAUUAAUUAAAUUAUUUAAUAAUAUUUUAUUGGGGUGAUAAAAAAAUAAAAUUAACUUUUUUUAAUAUAUUAUUUCAUAAAUAAGUGAGUAAUUGAUCCAAAAUUUUUGAUUAUAAGAAAAAAUUACCUUAGGGAUAACAGCGUAAUUUUUUUUUUUAGUUCAAAUAAUAAAAAGAGUUUGCGACCUCGAUGUUGGAUUAAGAUAAAAUUUAUAUGCAAAAGUAUAAAAUUUUGAUCUGUUCGAUCAUUAAAAUCUUACAUGAUCUGAGUUCAAACCGGUGUGAGCCAGGUUGGUUUCUAUCUUUAAAAUAUUAAAAUAUUUUAGUACGAAAGGAAUAAAUAUUUAAAUUAAAUUUAUUUAAUGAAUUUUAUUAAUGUUUAAUUUAAAUUUAAAA